GUCAUCUGCGUUGGAUACACUGCCAAUAGAAUUAUAUGGUUCCAACGCACUGAAAGGAGUAUUAGCAACAACAGAAGAAUUCAUAUUAACUGGAGAAUCAAUGGUUGUUGUUGAAAUAUGCGCAAAUGGGUAAUUUUCUUCUAAGUAAUCAACAUCUCGGGAGACAUAAAUCAUCUUGUUCUCCAAGUCAAAGAUUUUGUAUACCUUCUUGUCAUAUGGAUAUCCAACAAAGAUGCCUUGUUUGGCUCGAAGAGCAAAG
This 259-nucleotide unclassified non-coding RNA is filed under the name Hevea brasiliensis (rubber tree). Lineage: Eukaryota; Viridiplantae; Streptophyta; Magnoliopsida; Malpighiales; Euphorbiaceae. The record is from RNAcentral.